AGAACGAACGCUGGCGGCGUGGAUUAGGCAUGCAAGUCGAACGCGAAAGAGGGGGGAAACCCCCUCUAGUAGAGUGGCGAACGGGUGAGUAACGCGUGAAGAGCCUGCCUUCAACAGGGGGAUAACACUCCCCAACGGGGUGCUAAUACCGCAUGAGACCACGGGAUCGCAUGGUCCUGAGGUCAAAGGUGGCCUCUAUUAUAAGCUACCGGUUGAAGAUGGCUUCGCGUCCCAUUAGCUAGUUGGCGGUGUAAGAGACCACCAAGGCGACGAGUGGGUAGCUGGGUCUGAGAGGAUGGUCAGCCCACACUGGGACUGAGAUACGGGCCCAGACUCCGUACGGGAGCAGCAGUCGAGAGGCUUGGCAAGUGGGGAAACCCUGACCGAAGCGCGCCGCGUGGAGGAUAGGAGCCGUUGGUACGUAAACGUCGUUU
This 434-nucleotide ribosomal RNA is filed under the name uncultured soil bacterium. RNAcentral's name for it is "bacterial SSU rRNA". It matches the Rfam family "Bacterial small subunit ribosomal RNA", at positions 26 to 437 of the family's 1533-position model. The record is from RNAcentral.